CAAUAGCGUAUAUUAAAGUUGUUGCAGUUAAAAAGCUCGUAGUUGGAUUUGUGGCGUACGGUGUGUUCUGGGCACUUGUUGUCUGAGUAACCUGCUGUUGCCAUCCUUGGGUGGAACCUGUGUGGCAUUAGGUUGUCGUGCAGGGGAUGCCCAUCAUUUACUGUGAAAAAAUUAGAGUGUUCAAAGCAGGCUUAUGCCGUUGAAUAUAUUAGCAUGGAAUAAUGGGAUAGGACUUUCUUGCUAUUUUGUUGGUUUGCGCAAAGAGGUAAUGAUUAAUAGGGACAGUUGGGGGUAUUCGUAUUCCAUUGUCAGAGGUGAAAUUCUUGGAUUUUUGGAAGACGAACUACUGCGAAAGCAUUUACCAAGGAUGUUUUCAUUAA
This 380-nucleotide ribosomal RNA is filed under the name uncultured eukaryote. RNAcentral's name for it is "partial 18S ribosomal RNA". It matches the Rfam family "Eukaryotic small subunit ribosomal RNA", at positions 592 to 976 of the family's 1831-position model. The record is from RNAcentral.